RNAcentral lists this ribosomal RNA (309 nucleotides) under uncultured soil bacterium. RNAcentral describes it as "bacterial SSU rRNA". It matches the Rfam family "Bacterial small subunit ribosomal RNA", at positions 26 to 336 of the family's 1533-position model. The record is from RNAcentral.
AGAUUGAACGCUGGCGGCAGGCCUAACACAUGCAAGUCGGGCGGUAGAGAGGUGCUUGCACCUCUUGAGAGCGGCGGACGGGUGAGUAAUGCCUAGGAAUCUGCCUAGUGGUGGGGGAUAACGGUUCGGAAACGGACGCUAAUACCGCAUACGUCCUACGGGAGAAAGCGGGGGACCUUCGGGCCUCGCGCCAUUAGAUGAGCCUAGGUCGGAUUAGCUAGUUGGUGAGGUAAUGGCUCACCAAGGCGACGAUCCGUAACUGGUCUGAGAGGAUGAUCAGUCACACUGGAACUGANACACGGUCCAGAC